AAUCAAUAUGAGAGUGUUUCACAACCCUUUUCUCUUCUCCACCUAUCAAACAGUUUGAAAUGUUUGACUCAUUCUGCACGUUUACAAAGAUCCGUCCAAUGAACUGAGACGUUUGGCAACUAGCUGACCGAACAGGCCAUAUAAACGGCACUUUGCUCUAGCUAACAGAACUAUAUCGAGUAAGUAUUUGGAAAAUGUGUGUGUUUUGGAUAUGAUUUUGCAAAAACCUUUUUGUUUUUAUUUCCAAAGCAUUGUGGCUAAGUUCAAUUUAGGAAACUUUGUCGAUCUUUAGCCGGCUCUGUCAUUGCAAUGCAGAUGGUCCAUCGGCAAACGUCUGUUACAAUGAUGCAGAACCACAGAAGCCCCUCAAAGACGAUGUGUUACACACCUGAAGCAGUCUUACAUCAGUUGAACAGCAUCAUCCGUCAGACUGGAGAGAAAACGGCAAGACGAGGAGCCUGUCCCUCUGAGUCCCCGGCUAACUCUGUGGUGGCUGCCUGUGUGAUUGCCUGGGCAAAGUAUGGAGGAGAGUGGGCCAGAGGCAGAGCAGCGAGGCACAGAUAACAGGCUUACAAGCAGGUGAGAAAUGGUAACACCAAUAGAUGUUUUUUUUCCAACAUUGAGUAAAUUGGCAGCUUAUUUACUGAAAUUGUCCACAGAAUUACUAUGUGGGCUCUUUACCAUUGUGGAACAUCUUGAUUUUAAUGGCAGUAAAAAUGCCACAUCAAUGCCACAUGCUUACCAACAUUUGAGGUUAGUGAAAGUUGAUUAUCUAACAAAUAAAACCAUAUCUCACAGUUGUUGUGGAAAGGGUGUUGUCAUUUCAGAUGAUGACUUUUAUAUUAUAGGAAUGCUAAAACCCAAACCAAUUUUAAAAUCAGACUGCAUCCCAGAAGAAGAAACUACACGGAUGUUCUUAUUUUGUAAUCUCAAACAUGCAAAUGUUGUUGGAUGUUGAAUUGAUUUAUGAGGGAAAACCAUUUGAGGCUGGACUGUCCGUUGUAAAUGACGCUGAACGACUUUAAUCUGGAGUUACGGUAAAUAUAAGCCAUAAUGUGUGCAAUAUCUAAGAGCAGUGCUCACCGCACAGCGAGGGACUUGCCUGAAAACCUGUGAGUUGAAAAUAUAACAGAGAUAAAACCGCUAAGGAAUCUACUUACGAUUAUUGUAAACUCUGAACUGCAAUAUCCCACUUUGUAAUGCAACUACUGCACAGCAAUUUCCCUGGGGAUAAAUAAAGUUUCACUCCAUCUUAUCAUGCCGACCUGAGAAGCAGCAGCUGCUGCAAGGCAUCCUGGAACUCUGUAGAGAAGCUCUACAUUUGUUACUGACUGACCGACAGUUCAUGCAAUUAGUCAUGAGGGAUAAUUGUGUCUAAGUAACCAGCUUUUAAGGUCUCAUUCUCACCUUGAUGUCAUUUUCAGUCUUUCUUGUUUUUGUUGCAUGUAAAAUGUCACCGGUUUCAUAAAAUGUUACUUUUUCUCCCACAAAGCCAACAUCAAUUAUGUAGAAAAAUAAGGUGCUUUGGCUUUUGUAAAGGCCAGUACAUUUCAACCGAUGUUGCUGAAAUCCAAAUGAAACGACGAUGCACUUCCAUUCAAGGAUGAUGGGAAACUGCAUCGCUCCAGUUCCUCUUUAUCUCGAUUUUUUAAAAACCCCUUCCUGCCACUAUUACAAAGCAAUGUCUCCAUUAUGAAGGGCUGAGAUGGAGCUAGGAUUGCACCGCCGUGGUUGCUGACAGGAACAAAGGUCAACCCUUUAUCCAUCAACCUCCCAAUACAUCUACCUAUCAGCCUGGGUGUCCCUUCCCGUAUCGUUCAGUCCAUCGGCCCCCAACAAACAGCCCCACUCCUUUGUAAAAAGGUUUUUUCUACAUCAGCCUACUUUCAACAAGCUGACAAAUGCAGCAAUGCCCCCAAAUAUGUGCAAGUAAACUAACUUAAAUUUGACCCCUAACAUUCUCUGUAAACAACCAAAUGUAGACUGGCAUAAUUUUCCAAGCUUCUCAGAAUUUCUUUGAGCAUUUCACUAUUAAAUUGAGAAAUGAACACACACAGCAGUAGUAAUAUUGUGGCCUGAAAACAAAAUCUCUGCUUUAAUGAGCAGAACUGCUGGCAGACGUUUUUAGUUUUAGAGUUGUUGAUUGCAAACUGUCUUUCUGCAUGAUUUGUUUAGGGAGGAACGGAUUUGUCACCUGCUGUAAUUUUGCUGUUGGAGAAGUUUUAAAAGUGUCUCCUGUAUACUUCUGCCUAUAUGCAUACAGUGGAUGUAAAGGGUUCAGCGACUUCCAAGUGUUAAUGUGUUGAAAUUCACUUUCCCUGAAACCUGCCUCGUCUAAAUUGUUUCCAGGUAGUUUGCGAUUUGUUGUAUUUCCUGGAAUAAUGUGUGAAAGUCUAGAUUUAGAUGUUGACCUUGUUGCUUUACGUCGAAGCUGAGCUAACAAAUGAGUGAACAAAACACAUUUAAAAUGUGACAUUGAGCUCCCUAAUGUGUUGCACACAAAGAGUCUAGAAAUCCUUCAGCUUCACAAAAUAAUUUGCAGAAUUAUAACAGUAAAUGAUCAUUGUAAUACUUAAAGAAAAAAAGCUUCCCUAUUUCAGCUAAAUGGUUAUUUGACUUUGACAAAUGAUAAAGUCUUCACCUAUUGACAACGUCAAUGGAGAAUAGCGGGGUGGACAUCCCUCGUUCGGCAGCAGUGGAAGUCAAAUCAAGACGAUCUUUGGGAGGGACAGACAACUGAUUAAAACGAUACAAUUCUGUGUUUUUCACAAAACAUUUCAAUUAUUUACUUUCCCACAUGCAGAACCAAUCCCUGUCCUGCAGGCCGUUAGUAAGUCGAUGCUGCUGCUUUGGAUGAUGCACCAGGGUGAUGUUUGUGAGGGAGAGAGAAUUGCAAAAAAGAAAAGAGGUCAAAGUACGAACACGGCCUACCUGUCCCUGGGCUUUAUGAGCACUAAUA
Molecule: long non-coding RNA, 2959 nt
Organism: Gasterosteus aculeatus aculeatus (three-spined stickleback)
Lineage: Eukaryota; Metazoa; Chordata; Actinopteri; Perciformes; Gasterosteidae
Source: Ensembl